RNAcentral lists this ribosomal RNA (497 nucleotides) under uncultured bacterium. RNAcentral describes it as "partial 16S ribosomal RNA". It matches the Rfam family "Bacterial small subunit ribosomal RNA", at positions 28 to 507 of the family's 1533-position model. The record is from RNAcentral.
GAUGAACGCUGGCGGCGUGCCUAAUACAUGCAAGUCGAGCGAACGGACGAGAAGCUUGCUUCUCUGAUGUUAGCGGCGGACGGGUGAGUAACACGUGGAUAACCUACCUAUAAGACUGGGAUAACUUCGGGAAACCGGAGCUAAUACCGGAUAAUGUUUUGAACCGCAUGGUUCAAAAGUAAAAGACGGUCUUGCUGUCACUUAUAGAUGGAUCCGCGCUGCAUUAGCUAGUUGGUAAGGUAACGGCUUACCAAGGCAACGAUGCAUAGCCGACCUGAGAGGGUGAUCGGCCACACUGGAACGGAGACACGGUCCAGACUCCUACGGGAGGCAGCAGUAGGGAAUCUUCCGCAAUGGGCGAAAGCAUGACGGAGCAACGCCGCGUGAGUGAUGAAGGUCUUCGGAUCGUAAAACUCUGUUAUUAGGGAAGAACAUAUGUGUAAGUAACUGUGCACAUCUUGACGGUACCUAAUCAGAAAGCCACGGCUAACUACGUG